Molecule: ribosomal RNA, 423 nt
Filed under: uncultured bacterium
Lineage: Bacteria
Description: partial 16S ribosomal RNA
Rfam family: Bacterial small subunit ribosomal RNA
Source: RNAcentral
GAAUUUUUGACAAUGGGCGAAAGCCUGAUCCAGCCAUGCCGCGCGCAGGAUGAAGGCCUUCGGGUUGUAAACUGCUUUUGUACCGAACGAAAAGCGUUAGGUUAAUACACUGGCGUCAUGACUGUACCGCAAGAAUAAGCACCGGCUAAAUAAGUGCCAGCAGCCGCGGUAAUACGUAGGGUGCAAGCGUUAAUCGGAAUUACUGGGAGUAAAGCGUGCGCAGGCGGUUUUGUAAGACAGAGGUGAAAUCCCCGGGCUCAACCUGGGAACUGCCUUUGUGACUGCAAGGCUAGAGUACGGCAGAGGGGGGUGGAAUUCCGCGUGUAGCAGUGAAAUGCGUAGAUAUGCGGAGGAACACCGAUGGCGAAGGCAACCCCCUGGGCCUGUACUGACGCUCAUGCACGAAAGCGUGGGGAGCAAACA